UGGAUUCUGGAUGUUUAAUUCACCAAUGCUGCUUUCCGCUACUUCAUUUUGCUCAUCCAUGGCUGCAAAAAUCUGGUUUGAAGUUCUAACCACUGGAUUUUGGAGGUUUAACUCACCAAUGCUGCUUUCCGCUACUUCAUUUUGCUCGUCCAUGGCUGCAGAUAUCUGGUUUGAAGUUCCAACCACUGGAUUUUGGAGGUCUAACUCACCAAUGCUGCUUUCCGCUACUUCGUUUUGCUCAUCCGUGGCUGCAGAUAUCUGGUUUGAAGUUCCAACCACUGGAUUUUGGAGGUUUAACUCACCAAUGCUGCUUUCAGCUACUUCAUUUUGCUCAUCCAUGGCUGCAGAAAUCCAGUUUGAAGUUUCAACCACUGGAUUUUGGAGGUUCAACUCACCAAUGCUGCUUUCAACUACAUUUUGUUCACCAUGGCAUGACUCAGAAGGCAUCUCUGAGUUGUAUGUAGUAUCAUAUGUAGGUUGGACAGAUUCCACAUCACUGACCACAUCUCUCGUCUCAACAACAGUGGUGGUUUUCACAUUGAGAACAUCUAAC
RNAcentral lists this long non-coding RNA (553 nucleotides) under Musa acuminata (dwarf banana). RNAcentral's name for it is "long non-coding RNA (MACU_LNC003002)". Lineage: Eukaryota; Viridiplantae; Streptophyta; Magnoliopsida; Zingiberales; Musaceae. The record is from RNAcentral.